This 487-nucleotide ribosomal RNA is filed under the name uncultured Turicibacter sp. RNAcentral describes it as "bacterial SSU rRNA". It matches the Rfam family "Bacterial small subunit ribosomal RNA", at positions 8 to 507 of the family's 1533-position model. Lineage: Bacteria; Bacillati; Bacillota; Erysipelotrichia; Erysipelotrichales; Turicibacteraceae. The record is from RNAcentral.
AGAGUUUGAUCCUGGCUCAGGAUGAACGCUGGCGGCGUGCCUAAUACAUGCAAGUCGAGCGAACCACUUCGGUGGGAAGCGGCGAACGGGUGAGUAACACGUAGGUGAUCUGCCCAUCAGACGGGGACAACGAUUGGAAACGAUCGCUAAUACCGGAUAGGACGAAAGUUUAAAGAUGCUCCUAGCAUCACUGAUGGAUGAGCCUGCGGCGCAUUAGCUAGUUGGUGGGGUAAAGGCCUACCAAGGCGACGAUGCGUAGCCGACCUGAGAGGGUGAACGGCCACACUGGGACCGAGACACGGCCCAGACUCCUACGGGAGGCAGCAGUAGGGAAUCUUCGGCAAUGGGCGAAAGCCUGACCGAGCAACGCCGCGUGAAUGAAGAAGGCCUUCGGGUUGUAAAAUUCUGUUAUAAGGGAAGAAAGGUGAUAGGAGGAAAUGACUAUCAAUUGACGGUACCUUAUGAGAAAGCCACGGCUAACUACGUG